AUGCCUCGGCCGGAUCUCUGUCCCGGGUGCGUCGCAGCCCCGGACCAAGGCGCCCGCCGGAGGACCAACCAAAACUCUUAUUGUAUACCCCCUCGCGGGUUUUUUUUUUAUAAUCUGAGCCUUCUCGGCGCCUCUCGUAGGCGUUUCGAAAAUGAAUCAAAACUUUCAACAACGGAUCUCUUGGUUCUGGCAUCGAUGAAGAACGCAGCGAAAUGCGAUAAGUAAUGUGAAUUGCAGAAUUCAGUGAAUCAUCGAAUCUUUGAACGCACAUUGCGCCCGCCAGUAUUCUGGCGGGCAUGCCUGUCCGAGCGUCAUUUCAACCCUCGAACCCCUCCGGGGGGUCGGCGUUGGGGAUCGGCCCUCCCUUAGCGGGUGGCCGUCUCCGAAAUACAGUGGCGGUCUCGCCGCACCUCUCCUGCGCAGUAUUUUGCACACUCGCAUCGGGAGCGCGGGGCGUCCACAGCCGUUAAACACCCAACUUCUGAAAUGUUAACCUC
RNAcentral lists this ribosomal RNA (497 nucleotides) under Trichoderma harzianum. Its description in RNAcentral is "eukaryotic LSU rRNA". The stretch from base 161 to 314 matches the Rfam family "5.8S ribosomal RNA". The record is from RNAcentral. Lineage: Eukaryota; Fungi; Ascomycota; Sordariomycetes; Hypocreales; Hypocreaceae.